CGAUCAUUGGAGUUUUAGAUUAUUGUUGGAUUUGUUAGGGUGUUAGAAUGAAAUUUAUAAACAUGAUCAUGUUUUGGAAUAAUGUUUUCAAUUUGGUAUGAUUAACCCUAACAAAUCCAACAAUAAUUUAAAACACCAAUGAGCGCCUAGAUCAUCCUCCUCUCCUCGCCAUGAUUCCAUGGAUCACACUUUGCUUUUAUCUGCAUCAAAGAAAGAGAUGCAUAAGUAUUUCAUAAAUACUUAGUGAGGGCGAUCAUCCCAUCUGCGAGCUAUACACACAAGCAAUGAGAUAACACCCACAUAUAUAACAAAAACAAACCAUCCAGCAAACUAAACAUCAAAUAACACAUCCAAUUCACCUACAAAUCAUCACAAAACAAGUCACUCGAUCCCAAUCGCUUAGAUAAGCUCAUGGUCACGCACUCACCUUAACAAGGUGAUUUGAAUAACAAAAACAAUCAGGAAAAACUCUCCUCGCGACUGCAACAGCCAAACAAUGCCCUACAACAAACCACAUAAACAAAAAUUUCUAAGAACCAAAAGGACAAAAACAGCAGAAAAACUAUAGCCGCAGAAAUGAUGCCCUAAAACAUAAACCAACCGUUAACUUCUUCAUCCCUUCGGUGGAAAGCAAGACCCAGACGUCACCAAUAUUCCCACAAAAUUUGGUGCCGAUCAGAAAAACGAUGAUACCAGGAUAGCACUUACAAACUCCGCUGAUCUCAGUUCGCAACAGAGAAAAAGC
Molecule: long non-coding RNA, 745 nt
Filed under: Capsella rubella
Lineage: Eukaryota; Viridiplantae; Streptophyta; Magnoliopsida; Brassicales; Brassicaceae
Description: long non-coding RNA (CRUB_LNC002992)
Source: RNAcentral